RNAcentral lists this ribosomal RNA (253 nucleotides) under uncultured bacterium. RNAcentral's name for it is "partial 16S ribosomal RNA". It matches the Rfam family "Bacterial small subunit ribosomal RNA", at positions 524 to 776 of the family's 1533-position model. The record is from RNAcentral.
UACGGAGGUUGCAAGCGUUGUUCGGAAUAACUGGGCGUAAAGGGAGCGCAGGCGGCUUGGUAAGUCUAACGUGAAAUCCCAGGGCUCAACUCUGGACGUGCUUUGGAUACUGCCUGGCUUGAGUACGUGAGAGGAGAUUGGAAUUCCAGGUGUAGCGGUGAAAUGCGUAGAUAUCUGGAGGAACACCGGUGGCGAAAGCGGAUCUCUGGCACGUUACUGACGCUGAGGCUCGAAAGCGUGGGGAGCAAACGGG